Molecule: long non-coding RNA, 621 nt
Filed under: Brassica napus (rape)
Lineage: Eukaryota; Viridiplantae; Streptophyta; Magnoliopsida; Brassicales; Brassicaceae
Description: long non-coding RNA (BNAP_LNC019009)
Source: RNAcentral
AGUUGAUAUUUUAAGGUUUAGAGUUGAAGGUUUAGGGUUUACGGUUUAGAGUUGAUGUUUCGGGGUUUAGGGUUUAGAGUUGAUGUUUCGGGGUUUAGGGUUCUUAUUUAAAAAAAAUAGGGUUUAGGAUUGAUGGUUUAGGGUUUAGAGUUGAGUUUUAGGGUUUAUGGUUUGAAUUUCGAAAUAAUAUAAUUCGAAAAAAAUUUAAAUAAUUAUUUUUAUUUUUUUAGAUUUUUAUUUAUUUAAAUAUUUAUUUAUUAUAUAUAUAAAGAACAAGGGCAUAAGAGUCUUUUGCCACUUAAUGAAUAUGGUAUUUUUGAAAAUAUCUUUUUAGUGGUGGUAAAAAUGAAAAAUUGUAGCAUGAGAGUGGUAAACAUGUAAUUUUCCCCAAAUUUAUUUAGCAUUAUUAAAUAAGUAUUACAAUAAGUAUAACUCUACGUUUUGGAAUAUGACUUAUCAUUUUUCAUCUAUAAAGAUUCAUUCCUAACUAUAACUAUGUUUUUUCUUAAUGUAAUCAUUUUUUGAAUGUACAUACAUUUUUAUAUGGUUUCAAACAAAUCAUUACCAAAGUAGAUCUCUUAGCUUCAUAAAUUACAUUAUAAAUUUAAUAAAUGAUUAGAC